GGAUCCACGGGGAUGCUGAGC
Molecule: microRNA, 21 nt
Filed under: Anolis carolinensis (green anole)
Lineage: Eukaryota; Metazoa; Chordata; Lepidosauria; Squamata; Anolidae
Description: aca-miR-5458
Source: miRBase by way of RNAcentral